This 459-nucleotide ribosomal RNA is filed under the name uncultured bacterium. Its description in RNAcentral is "bacterial SSU rRNA". It matches the Rfam family "Bacterial small subunit ribosomal RNA", at positions 28 to 481 of the family's 1533-position model. The record is from RNAcentral.
GAUGAACGCUGGCGGCGUGCUUAACACAUGCAAGUCGAACGAAGCACUUUGAAACAAUCCUUCGGGUGCGUUUCUUAGUGACUUAGUGGCGGACGGGUGAGUAACGCGUGGGUAACCUGCCUCAUGCAGGGGGAUAACAGUUAGAAAUGACUGCUAAUACCGCAUAAGCGCACAGUACCGCAUGGUACAGUGUGAAAAAGAUUUAUCAGCAUGAGAUGGACCCGCGUCUGAUUAGCUAGUUGGUGAGGUAACGGCUCACCAAGGCGACGAUCAGUAGCCGACUUGAGAGAGUGAUCGGCCACAUUGGGACUGAGACACGGCCCAAAACUCCUAACGGGAGGCAGCAGUGGGGAAUAUUGCGCAAUGGGGAAACCCUGACGCAGCAACGCCGCGUGCAGGAAGAAGGUCUUCGGAUUGUAAACUGUUGUCGCAAGGGAAGAAGACAAGUGACGGUACCUU